GACGAACGCUGGCGGCGUGCCUAAUACAUGCAAGUAGAACGCUGAAGAGAGGAGCUUGCUCUUCUUGGAUGAGUUGCGAACGGGUGAGUAACGCGUAGGUAACCUGCCUGGUAGCGGGGGAUAACUAUUGGAAACGAUAGCUAAUACCGCAUAAAAUUGAUUAUUGCAUGAUAAUUAAUUGAAAGAUGCAAUUGCAUCACUACCAGAUGGACCUGCGUUGUAUUAGCUAGUUGGUGAGGUAACGGCUCACCAAGGCGACGAUACAUAGCCGACCUGAGAGGGUGAUCGGCCACACUGGGACUGAGACACGGCCCAGACUCCUACGGGAGGCAGCAGUAGGGAAUCUUCGGCAAUGGGGGGAACCCUGACCGAGCAACGCCGCGUGAGUGAAGAAGGUUUUCGGAUCGUAAAGCUCUGUUGUAAGAGAAGAACGGGUGUGAGAGUGGAAAGUUCACACUGUGACGGUAUCUUACCAGAAAGGGACGGCUAACUACGUGCCAGCAGCCGCGGUAAUACGUAGGUCCCGAGCGUUGUCCGGAUUUAUUGGGCGUAAAGCGAGCGCAGGCGGUUAGAUAGUCUGAAGUUAAGGCUGUGGCUUAACCAUAGUAUGCUUUGGAAACUGUUUAACUUGAGUGCAGAAGGGGAGAGUGGAAUUCCAUGUGUAGCGGUGAAAUGCGUAGAUAUAUGGAGGAACACCGGUGGCGAAAGCGGCUCUCUGGUCUGUAACUGACGCUGAGGCUCGAAAGCGCGGGGAGCAAACAGGAUUAGAUACCCUGGUAGUCCACGCCGUAAACGAUGAGUGCUAGGUGUUAGGCCCUUUCCGGGGCUUAGUGCCGCAGCUAAUGCAUUAAGCACUCCGCCUGGGGAGUACGACCGCAAGGUUGAAACUCAAAGGAAUUGACGGGGGCCCGCACAAGCGGUGGAGCAUGUGGUUUAAUUCGAAGCAACGCGAAGAACCUUACCAGGUCUUGACAUCCCUCUGACCGCUCUAGAGAUAGAGUUUUCCUUCGGGACAGAGGUGACAGGUGGUGCAUGGUUGUCGUCAGCUCGUGUCGUGAGAUGUUGGGUUAAGUCCCGCAACGAGCGCAACCCCUAUUGUUAGUUGCCAUCAUUGAGUUGGGCACUCUAGCGAGACUGCCGGUAAUAAACCGGAGGAAGGUGGGGAUGACGUCAAAUCAUCAUGCCCCUUAUGACCUGGGCUACACACGUGCUACAAUGGCUGGUACAACGAGUCGCAAGCCGGUGACGGCAAGCUAAUCUCUGAAAGCCAGUCUCAGUUCGGAUUGUAGGCUGCAACUCGCCUACAUGAAGUCGGAAUCGCUAGUAAUCGCGGAUCAGCGCGCCGCGGUGAAUACGUUCCCGGGCCU
This 1367-nucleotide ribosomal RNA is filed under the name uncultured bacterium. Its description in RNAcentral is "bacterial SSU rRNA". It matches the Rfam family "Bacterial small subunit ribosomal RNA", at positions 28 to 1381 of the family's 1533-position model. The record is from RNAcentral.